This 253-nucleotide ribosomal RNA is filed under the name uncultured bacterium. RNAcentral's name for it is "partial 16S ribosomal RNA". It matches the Rfam family "Bacterial small subunit ribosomal RNA", at positions 524 to 776 of the family's 1533-position model. The record is from RNAcentral.
UACGGAGGGUGCAAGCGUUGUUCGGAAUCACUGGGCGUAAAGGGUGUGUAGGCGGCCCGCUAAGUCUGAUGUGAAAGCCCGGGGCUCACCCCCGGAAGGGCAUUGGAAACUGGCGGACUCGAGUCCCGGAGAGGAGGGUGGAAUUCCCGGUGUAGCGGUGAAAUGCGUAGAUAUCAGGAAGAACACCCGUGGCGAAGGCGGCUCUCUGGGACGGUACUGACGCUGAGACGCGAAAGCGUGGGGAGCGAACAGG